RNAcentral lists this ribosomal RNA (552 nucleotides) under uncultured bacterium. RNAcentral describes it as "bacterial SSU rRNA". It matches the Rfam family "Bacterial small subunit ribosomal RNA", at positions 524 to 1075 of the family's 1533-position model. The record is from RNAcentral.
UACGGGGGGACGAAGUUGUUCGGAAUUACUGGGCGUAAAGGGCGUGCAGGCGGUCCUGUAAGAGAGUUGUGAAAUGCCCUGGCUCAACCAGGGAAAUGCACCUCUGACUGCAGGACUUGAGUAUGGGAGAGGAUGGGGGAAUUCCCGGUGUAGCGGUGAAAUGCAUUGAUAUCGGGAGGAACACCAGUAGCGAAGGCGGCUCUCUGGACUGAUACUGACGCUCAAGCGCGAAGGCUUGGGGAGCAAACAGGACUAGAUACCCUGGUAGUCCAAGCGGUAAACUAUGGGUACUAGGUGUCGGGGGUAUCGACCCCCUCGGUGCCGAAGCUAACGCAUUAAGUACCCCGCCUGGGGAGUACGAUCGCAAGAUUGAAACUCAAAGAAAUUGAACGGGGGCCCGCACAAGCGGUGGAGUAUGUUGGUUCAAUUCGAAGCAACACGCAGAACCUUACCUGGGCUUGACAUACACAGGACAACCGGUGAAAUCGGUCUCCUCUUCGGAAGUCUGUGCACANGUUCUGCAUGGCUGUCGUCACUCGUGCCGCGAAGUGU